RNAcentral lists this ribosomal RNA (551 nucleotides) under uncultured fungus. Its description in RNAcentral is "eukaryotic LSU rRNA". The stretch from base 186 to 339 matches the Rfam family "5.8S ribosomal RNA". Lineage: Eukaryota; Fungi. The record is from RNAcentral.
AAGUCGUAACAAGGUCUCCGUUGGUGAACCAGCGGAGGGAUCAUUACUGAGUACUACACUCUCUACCCUUUGUGAACUAUUAUACCUGUUGCUUCGGCGGCGCCCGCAAGGGUGCCCGCCGGUCUCAUCAGAAUCUCUGUUUUCGAACCCGACGAUACUUCUGAGUGUUCUUAGCGAACUGUCAAAACUUUUAACAACGGAUCUCUUGGCUCCAGCAUCGAUGAAGAACGCAGCGAAACGCGAUAUGUAAUGUGAAUUGCAGAAUUCAGUGAAUCAUCGAAUCUCUGAACGCACAUGGCGCCUUCCAGUAUCCUGGGAGGCAUGCCUGUCCGAGCGUCGUUUCAACCCUCGAGCCCCUGUGGCCCGGCGUUGGGGAUCUGCCACGGCAGGCCCCUAAAACCAGUGGCGGACCCGAAGGGCCCUCUCCUUUGCGCAGUAGCAUUCGCCUCGCAUCGGGAGUCCUCGGCGUCCUGCCUCUAAACCCCCCACAAGCCCGCUUCGGCGGCACCAAGGUUGACCUCGGAUCAGGUAGGAAUACCCGCUGAACUUAA